Molecule: small nuclear RNA, 105 nt
Organism: Dromiciops gliroides (monito del monte)
Lineage: Eukaryota; Metazoa; Chordata; Mammalia; Microbiotheria; Microbiotheriidae
Source: RefSeq, a predicted model, not a curated record
GUGCUUGCUUUGGCAGCACAUAUACUAAAAUUGGAACAAUACAGAGAUUUGCAUGGCCUCUGCACAAGGAUAUUUUUUAAAUGCUUAAAAGCCUAACAAAUAAAU